CUUUUGAUGGCCGAGCUUGAGGCGGUAGAUUUUUAAUCUGCUGACGAUUUUAAAUCUCAAAAGU
This 64-nucleotide transfer RNA is filed under the name Elysia chlorotica (eastern emerald elysia). RNAcentral's name for it is "tRNA-Lys". The record is from RNAcentral. Lineage: Eukaryota; Metazoa; Mollusca; Gastropoda; Plakobranchidae.